GACGAACGCUGGCGGCGUGCCUAAUACAUGCAAGUUGAGCGCUGAAGGUUGGUACUUGUACCAACUGGAUGAGCAGCGAACGGGUGAGUAACGCGUGGGGAAUCUGCCUUUGAGCAGGGGACAACAUUUGGAAACGAAUGCUAAUACCGCAUAAAAACUUUAAACACAAGUUUUAAGUUUGAAAGAUGCAAUUGCAUCACUCAAAGAUGAUCCCGCGUUGUAUUAGCUAGUUGGUGAGGUAAAGGCUCACCAAGGCGAUGAUACAUAGCCGACCUGAGAGGGUGAUCGGCCACAUUGGGACUGAGACACGGCCCAAACUCCUUCGGGAGGCAGCAGUAGGGAAUCUUCGGCAAUGGACGAAAGUCUGACCGAGCAACGCCGCGUGAGUGAAGAAGGUUUUCGGAUCGUAAAACUCUGUUGGUAGAGAAGAACGUUGGUGAGAGUGGAAAGCUCAUCAAGUGACGGUAACUACCCAGAAAGGGACGGCUAACUACGUG
RNAcentral lists this ribosomal RNA (497 nucleotides) under uncultured bacterium. RNAcentral's name for it is "partial 16S ribosomal RNA". It matches the Rfam family "Bacterial small subunit ribosomal RNA", at positions 28 to 507 of the family's 1533-position model. The record is from RNAcentral.